This 2932-nucleotide ribosomal RNA is filed under the name Escherichia coli. RNAcentral describes it as "bacterial LSU rRNA". It matches the Rfam family "Bacterial large subunit ribosomal RNA". The record is from RNAcentral. Lineage: Bacteria; Pseudomonadati; Pseudomonadota; Gammaproteobacteria; Enterobacterales; Enterobacteriaceae.
GGGUUGUGAGGUUAAGCGACUAAGCGUACACGGUGGAUGCCCUGGCAGUCAGAGGCGAUGAAGGACGUGCUAAUCUGCGAUAAGCGUCGGUAAGGUGAUAUGAACCGUUAUAACCGGCGAUUUCCGAAUGGGGAAACCCAGUGUGAUUCGUCACACUAUCAUUAACUGAAUCCAUAGGUUAAUGAGGCGAACCGGGGGAACUGAAACAUCUAAGUACCCCGAGGAAAAGAAAUCAACCGAGAUUCCCCCAGUAGCGGCGAGCGAACGGGGAGGAGCCCAGAGCCUGAAUCAGUGUGUGUGUUAGUGGAAGCGUUUGGAAAGGCGCGCGAUACAGGGUGACAGCCCCGUACACAAAAAUGCACAUGCUGUGAGCUCGAUGAGUAGGGCGGGACACGUGGUAUCCUGUCUGAAUAUGGGGGGACCAUCCUCCAAGGCUAAAUACUCCUGACUGACCGAUAGUGAACCAGUACCGUGAGGGAAAGGCGAAAAGAACCCCGGCGAGGGGAGUGAAAAAGAACCUGAAACCGUGUACGUACAAGCAGUGGGAGCACAGAGCAAUCUGUGUGACUGCGUACCUUUUGUAUAAUGGGUCAGCGACUUAUAUUCUGUAGCAAGGUUAACCGAAUAGGGGAGCCGAAGGGAAACCGAGUCUUAACUGGGCGUUAAGUUGCAGGGUAUAGACCCGAAACCCGGUGAUCUAGCCAUGGGCAGGUUGAAGGUUGGGUAACACUAACUGGAGGACCGAACCGACUAAUGUUGAAAAAUUAGCGGAUGACUUGUGGCUGGGGGUGAAAGGCCAAUCAAACCGGGAGAUAGCUGGUUCUCCCCGAAAGCUAUUUAGGUAGCGCCUCGUGAAUUCAUCUCCGGGGGUAGAGCACUGUUUCGGCAAGGGGGUCAUCCCGACUUACCAACCCGAUGCAAACUGCGAAUACCGGAGAAUGUUAUCACGGGAGACACACGGCGGGUGCUAACGUCCGUCGUGAAGAGGGAAACAACCCAGACCGCCAGCUAAGGUCCCAAAGUCAUGGUUAAGUGGGAAACGAUGUGGGAAGGCCCAGACAGCCAGGAUGUUGGCUUAGAAGCAGCCAUCAUUUAAAGAAAGCGUAAUAGCUCACUGGUCGAGUCGGCCUGCGCGGAAGAUGUAACGGGGCUAAACCAUGCACCGAAGCUGCGGCAGCGACACUGUGUGUUGUUGGGUAGGGGAGCGUUCUGUAAGCCUGUGAAGGUGUGCUGUGAGGCAUGCUGGAGGUAUCAGAAGUGCGAAUGCUGACAUAAGUAACGAUAAAGCGGGUGAAAAGCCCGCUCGCCGGAAGACCAAGGGUUCCUGUCCAACGUUAAUCGGGGCAGGGUGAGUCGACCCCUAAGGCGAGGCCGAAAGGCGUAGUCGAUGGGAAACAGGUUAAUAUUCCUGUACUUGGUGUUACUGCGAAGGGGGGACGGAGAAGGCUAUGUUGGCCGGGCGACGGUUGUCCCGGUUUAAGCGUGUAGGCUGGUUUUCCAGGCAAAUCCGGAAAAUCAAGGCUGAGGCGUGAUGACGAGGCACUACGGUGCUGAAGCAACAAAUGCCCUGCUUCCAGGAAAAGCCUCUAAGCAUCAGGUAACAUCAAAUCGUACCCCAAACCGACACAGGUGGUCAGGUAGAGAAUACCAAGGCGCUUGAGAGAACUCGGGUGAAGGAACUAGGCAAAAUGGUGCCGUAACUUCGGGAGAAGGCACGCUGAUAUGUAGGUGAAGUCCCUCGCGGAUGGAGCUGAAAUCAGUCGAAGAUACCAGCUGGCUGCAACUGUUUAUUAAAAACACAGCACUGUGCAAACACGAAAGUGGACGUAUACGGUGUGACGCCUGCCCGGUGCCGGAAGGUUAAUUGAUGGGGUCAGCGCAAGCGAAGCUCUUGAUCGAAGCCCCGGUAAACGGCGGCCGUAACUAUAACGGUCCUAAGGUAGCGAAAUUCCUUGUCGGGUAAGUUCCGACCUGCACGAAUGGCGUAAUGAUGGCCAGGCUGUCUCCACCCGAGACUCAGUGAAAUUGAACUCGCUGUGAAGAUGCAGUGUACCCGCGGCAAGACGGAAAGACCCCGUGAACCUUUACUAUAGCUUGACACUGAACAUUGAGCCUUGAUGUGUAGGAUAGGUGGGAGGCUUUGAAGUGUGGACGCCAGUCUGCAUGGAGCCGACCUUGAAAUACCACCCUUUAAUGUUUGAUGUUCUAACGUGGACCCGUGAUCCGGGUUGCGGACAGUGUCUGGUGGGUAGUUUGACUGGGGCGGUCUCCUCCUAAAGAGUAACGGAGGAGCACGAAGGUUGGCUAAUCCUGGUCGGACAUCAGGAGGUUAGUGCAAUGGCAUAAGCCAGCUUGACUGCGAGCGUGACGGCGCGAGCAGGUGCGAAAGCAGGUCAUAGUGAUCCGGUGGUUCUGAAUGGAAGGGCCAUCGCUCAACGGAUAAAAGGUACUCCGGGGAUAACAGGCUGAUACCGCCCAAGAGUUCAUAUCGACGGCGGUGUUUGGCACCUCGAUGUCGGCUCAUCACAUCCUGGGGCUGAAGUAGGUCCCAAGGGUAUGGCUGUUCGCCAUUUAAAGUGGUACGCGAGCUGGGUUUAGAACGUCGUGAGACAGUUCGGUCCCUAUCUGCCGUGGGCGCUGGAGAACUGAGGGGGGCUGCUCCUAGUACGAGAGGACCGGAGUGGACGCAUCACUGGUGUUCGGGUUGUCAUGCCAAUGGCACUGCCCGGUAGCUAAAUGCGGAAGAGAUAAGUGCUGAAAGCAUCUAAGCACGAAACUUGCCCCGAGAUGAGUUCUCCCUGACCCUUUAAGGGUCCUGAAGGAACGUUGAAGACGACGACGUUGAUAGGCCGGGUGUGUAAGCGCAGCGAUGCGUUGAGCUAACCGGUACUAAUGAACCGUGAGGCUUAACCUUACAACGCCGAAGGUGUUU